UGAAUUGACGGCAAGAUCCACUAGAAACGCGUUAUGCGUUUGUGUAGAACGGUUUUGGUAUUUCAACGUGCCGCAAUGAAGCGUUGUUUCAGGCCGCUUUGUGGAACGUCGAUCUGCAAUCAGUGAAACUGCCUCGCAUAAAUGCCCCCCCAGUGAGGACCCACCCCCCUCCAUGCACAUGUCAGUCUUAGAGAGAACGCGCCUGCCCCGUCCACCACUUUCCUCCUCUGGCCAUGAGCCUCUCCUGGACCCACGCACGUCACGCCCCUUCCUCUCCCCCGGGGUGCUCGGACUGGGGUCUCGCUUCUCCAGCUGUGCUGCAAGGCGGCGGGGGAGAAGCGCGUUGAAGUCAUUCAGCACUGUAAUCUGGGAGUCUUUCCCCAACGUACAGCUGUGCAGCGUCGGAAUGAGAUGCAACAAUGGUACUUGAAAAUGUCUCUCAAAAUAGAUGCAAAACAGCGUAAAUCAGGUAAAGAAAAGUCGCCACGACAGAUCCCACACGGAGUGCACCUGUGCCGGCAGUUUUUAAUUUGGAAAACUCCUCGGGUGUGGAGGCCCCGUGACUUUGUGAUUUGUCAAAGCACGCGUCUGUUCAAGUGGACCCUCGUUUAAACCAAGCCUCUUUGUGAUUUCGUACCCGUGUGCUGGCCUGGUGUGUCGCUGUCUUGUUUUUGACAAGUGUCCUCUUGGGAACCCAUGACAGAUGUCCUCUGGAAGGACUGAUAAGCCCCCAGCACUCUGGGAAUCGGACAUUAGACACAGCUGCCAGGACCCACAGGCUACCUCUGCCUCUGUCUGAAAGGCCAGUGACCACUACAGAAAUAUCGUGGAACCUGUUUGUAUCUGGAGAAAAGAGGAAAGAAAAUCUGAAGGGGGUUUUGGUUCAAUACGGCUGGACAGAAAUCAUUCAAUACGUUUUUGAGGGGAUUCCUUUAAAAAAUGGUUUAAAACCAAGAACCUUUUUCUUUGCUCUCCUCAGGUCUUCUAACAAUCAUAGAUACAAACAGAUGGUAGACAGGACAGAGAUACAGAAUUAUAAUCCCCCCCCCACCACCACCCCAUUAGUGAAAGUGUCACUUUUUCUGUGGGAGUACAAAAAUCCAUACUUUGGUAUAAUUUGGAUACAAGGUGGAUAACUGGGAUGUGAGUGUGGAAGGAGUUCAUGGAACAUCUGCCUGAAACGGAGGCAUGCCUAAGAGUCCAGAGGCAGAAGAAAACUUCAGAUUGUAUCACAGACCUUUUCCUUUCUUGUUCCGAGAAAAAAAAAAUUCUUUAGGUGAAUGAGCAAAUAAUGAUGUACAAUGCUGUCAUUUUGCUUUGUUGCUAAGGCACAGCGCAAUUAAAAGAUUUCACUCCUGGAGAAAAAAAAAUAAGCUAGCCUUUCCUUUAAUUGAUCUGAUGGCACAAUUCAGGACUUAUUAACCAGUUGUGAUUUUAAUCAGCAGCACGGCGCAGGCAAUUCAGUUUCCCAUUAUUUUGUUGACUGUUUUCAAUUAAAACACAGCAGGAAUUCAUAUUCAAGCUUCCCGUCACUGCUGAUUACUUUGAAAACAUUUGUAAAAUACAGAUUAUUCCCCAUCAUGCUAGUUUUAUGGGUAUGUGGUUUCUGUGCUGUGUGGAAGGUCUUUCACUGCUUUCAGUUAAUCUGCAGCAAAGAGAUUGUUAAUGAUUGUUAGAAAUAGCUGUUACAUGCUUAUCUACAGUGUAUGAAAAACCUAAUACAGAAUAUCAUAUAGAUACAUGAUAACUCAGUAA
This 1755-nucleotide long non-coding RNA is filed under the name Lepisosteus oculatus (spotted gar). Its description in RNAcentral is "lncRNA (ENSLOCG00000021658.1)". Lineage: Eukaryota; Metazoa; Chordata; Actinopteri; Semionotiformes; Lepisosteidae. The record is from RNAcentral.